GAUGAACGCUGGCGGCGUGCCUAAUACAUGCAAGUCGAGCGAACAGACGAGGAGCUUGCUCCUCUGACGUUAGCGGUGGACGGGUGAGUAACACGUGGAUAACCUACCUAUAAGACUGGGAUAACUUCGGGAAACCGGAGCUAAUACCGGAUAACAUGUUGAACCGCAUGGUUCAACAGUGAAAGACGGUCUUGCUGUCACUUAUCGAUGGAUCCGCGCCGCAUUAGCUUGUUGGUAAGGUAACGGCUUACCAAGGCAACGAUGCGUAGCCGACCUGAGAGGGCGAUCGGCCGCCCUGGGACUGUGACCCGGCCCAGUCUCCUUCGGGAGCGGCCCGUAGGGAAUCGUCCGCCAGGGGCGAAGACCUGUCGGCACAGCGCCGCGUCAGUAAGGAACGUCUUCGGAUCCUAAAACUCUGUUUUUAGGUAGGAACCCGUUUGUAAGUGACUAGGCGCGUCUUUACGGUUCCUGGUCAGAAAGCCACCGCUUACCACCUU
This 497-nucleotide ribosomal RNA is filed under the name uncultured bacterium. Its description in RNAcentral is "partial 16S ribosomal RNA". It matches the Rfam family "Bacterial small subunit ribosomal RNA", at positions 28 to 507 of the family's 1533-position model. The record is from RNAcentral.